Molecule: unclassified non-coding RNA, 298 nt
Filed under: Hevea brasiliensis (rubber tree)
Lineage: Eukaryota; Viridiplantae; Streptophyta; Magnoliopsida; Malpighiales; Euphorbiaceae
Source: RNAcentral
UAUUAAAGAGGCAGGUGAGCGUUUAUUUCAUGGUUUUAUUAUAAUUAUUUAUUUUAUUAUUUGUUGUGUUUUUUGGUUUCACAAGCUUUAAUUAUUUGAAUUCAAGGAUGUGCUGCUGGUAUGAGGUAUCUACAAAGCAGUAUGCUAGCAUAAUGCCCUUGAUGAUUUGCUUUCUUUGGGGAUUGAAUGGAUACAUUCAUAUAAUGUGGUUGAAGAUGUAUCUUCGCUUCUGAAGUUGGUUCAAGCAAUCUCAAUGAAAUUACAGUUGCAUUUUGCUAGAGAAAGGAAAAAAAAAAUG